Molecule: ribosomal RNA, 572 nt
Filed under: uncultured bacterium
Lineage: Bacteria
Description: partial 16S ribosomal RNA
Rfam family: Bacterial small subunit ribosomal RNA
Source: RNAcentral
UGGGGAAUUUUGGACAAUGGGCGCAAGCCUGAUCCAGCCAUGCCGCGUGCGGGAAGAAGGCCUUCGGGUUGUAAACCGCUUUUGUCAGGGAAGAAAUCUUCUGAGUUAAUACCUCGGGAGGAUGACGGUACCUGAAGAAUAAGCACCGGCUAACUACGUGCCGGCAGCCGCGGUAAUACGUAGGGUGCAAGCGUUAAUCGGAAUUACUGGGCGUAAAGCGUGCGCAGGCGGUUUUGUAAGACAGAGGUGAAAUCCCCGGGCUCAACCUGGGAACUGCCUUUGUGACUGCAAGGCUUGAGUGCGGCAGAGGGGGAUGGAAUUCCGCGUGUAGCAGUGAAAUGCGUAGAUAUGCGGAGGAACACCGAUGGCGAAGGCAAUCCCCUGGGCCUGCACUGACGCUCAUGCACGAAAGCGUGGGGAGCAAACAGGAUUAGAUACCCUGGUAGUCCACGCCCUAAAACGAUGUCAACUGGUUGUUGGGAAGGUUCCUUCUCAGUAACGUAGCUAACGCNUGAAGUUGACCGCCUGGGGAGUACGGCCGCAAGGUUGAAACUUAAAUGAAUUGACGGGGU